Non-coding RNA from Quaeritorhiza haematococci, 87 nucleotides. NCBI's taxonomy places the organism in Eukaryota, Fungi, Chytridiomycota, Chytridiomycetes, Quaeritorhizaceae. The record is from the annotation of a GenBank genome assembly.
CCGGCCUUAGCUCAGUUGGUAGUAGCGGCAGACUGUAGUGUUCACACAGGCAUCUGUAGGUCCCUGGUUCGACUCCGGGAGGCCGGA